This 253-nucleotide ribosomal RNA is filed under the name uncultured bacterium. Its description in RNAcentral is "partial 16S ribosomal RNA". It matches the Rfam family "Bacterial small subunit ribosomal RNA", at positions 524 to 776 of the family's 1533-position model. The record is from RNAcentral.
UACGGAGGGUGCAAGCGUUAUCCGGAUUUACUGGGUUUAAAGGGUGUGUAGGCGGACUUUUAAGUCAGGGGUGAAAUCCCGGGGCUCAACCCCGGAACUGCCUUUGAUACUAUUGGUCUUGAAUGUUGUUGAGGUGGGCGGAACGGGUCAUGUAGCGGUGAAAUGCAUAGAUAUGACCCGGAACACCGAUUGCGAAGGCAGCCCGCUAAGCAACUAUUGACGCUGAGGCACGAAAGCGUGGGGAUCAAACAGG